UUUAGGGUUUAAAACCCUAAUGCUGGCUGAAUGGAAAAAGUUCAGUUUAGGGUUUAAAACCCUAAUGCUGAUUGCAUGAAAAAGCUCAGUUUAGGGUUUAAAACCCUAAUGCUGGCUGAAUGGAAAAAAGUUCAGUUUAGGGUUUAAAACCCUAAUGCUGACUAAAGGAAAAAUUCAGUUUAGGGUUUAAAACCCUAAUGCUGACUGCAUGGAAAAGCUCAGUUUAGGGUUUAAAACCCUAAUGCUGGCUGAAUGGAAAAAGUUCAGUUUAGGGUUUAAAACCCUAAUGCUGAUUAAAGUAAUAAGUUCAGUUCAGGGUUUAAAACCCUAAUGCUGACUGCAUGGAAAAGCUCAGUUUAGGGUUUAAAACCCUAAUGCUGGCUGAAUGGAAAAAAGUUCAGUUUAGGGUUUAAAACCCUAAUGCUGAUUGCAUGAAAAAGCUCAGUUUAGGGUUUAAAACCCUAAUGCUGGCUGAAUGGAGAAGCUCAGUUUAGGGUUUAAAACCCUAAUGCUGGCUGAAUGGAAAAAGUUCAGUUUAGGGUUUAAAACCCUAAUGCUGAUUGCAUGAAAAAGCUCAGUUUAGGGUUUAAAACCCUAAUGCUGACUGGAAGGAAAAGCUCAGUUUAGGGUUUAAAACCCUAAUGCUGGCUGAAUGGAAAAAGUUCAGUUUAGGGUUUAAAACCCUAAUGCUGACUAAAGGAAAAAAUCAGUUUAGGGUUUAAAACCAUAAUGCUGACUGCAUGGAAAAGCU
Molecule: long non-coding RNA, 751 nt
Filed under: Nicotiana tabacum (common tobacco)
Lineage: Eukaryota; Viridiplantae; Streptophyta; Magnoliopsida; Solanales; Solanaceae
Description: long non-coding RNA (NTAB_LNC005380)
Source: RNAcentral